This 429-nucleotide ribosomal RNA is filed under the name uncultured prokaryote. Its description in RNAcentral is "bacterial SSU rRNA". It matches the Rfam family "Bacterial small subunit ribosomal RNA", at positions 355 to 774 of the family's 1533-position model. The record is from RNAcentral.
UCUAGAAUAGUCUACAAUGGUCGAAAGACUGAUAGUGCGACGCCGCGUGAACGAAGAAGCCCUUCGGGGUGUAAAGUUCUUUUAUAUGUGAGCAAUGCCAGAUAGGUGAAUAGUCUGUUUGGAGCGAUAUUAGCAUAUGAAUAAGCAACGGCUAACUCCGUGCCAGCAGCCGCGGUAAUACGGAGGGUGCAAGCGUUGUCCGGAAUCAUUGGGCGUAAAGCGUUCGUAGGCGGCAUAUCAAGUCUGGUGUUAAAGCCCGGAGCUCAACUCCGGAUCGGCACUGGAUACUGGUAAGCUAGAAUGAGGUAGAGGUAAUGGGAAUUCCUGGUGUAGCGGUGAAAUGCGUAGAUAUCAGGAGGAACACCGGUGGCGUAAGCGCAUUACUGGGCCUUUAUUGACGCUGAGGAACGAAAGCCGGGAGAGCAAAUG